UUUGCGGGGAAUGUUGUCUGGCUCGAGGACUUUUGAUUCAUUUCUCGCAUUCACAAAUCAUAAAUUUCAUACACACAUGUCUUUAGAUAUGCUAUUGUAUGGAUCUAAAAACACAUGUACAAACACAACACCAAAUAUACAGAUUUGAACGAAAGAUCUUUGAUAUUGAAUUAAGCUUUGUCGGAUCAGUCUUUAUUCCCCCCAAU
RNAcentral lists this microRNA precursor (206 nucleotides) under Daucus carota subsp. sativus. RNAcentral describes it as "sRNA DCAR_mi00065". It matches the Rfam family "mir-166 microRNA precursor family". Rfam says of the family: This family represents the plant microRNA (miRNA) precursor mir-166. Animal miRNAs are transcribed as ~70nt precursors and subsequently processed by the Dicer enzyme to give a ~22nt product. The record is from RNAcentral. Lineage: Eukaryota; Viridiplantae; Streptophyta; Magnoliopsida; Apiales; Apiaceae.